Molecule: ribosomal RNA, 274 nt
Filed under: uncultured bacterium
Lineage: Bacteria
Description: partial 16S ribosomal RNA
Rfam family: Bacterial small subunit ribosomal RNA
Source: RNAcentral
CUACGGAGGGUGCAAGCGUUACUCGGAAUCACUGGGCGUAAAGCGCGCGCAGGCGGUCUUUUAAGUUGGAUGUGAAAGCCUACGGCUCAACCGUAGAACUGCAUCCAAAACUAUUAGACUAGAGUGUGGGAGAGGAAGAUGGAAUUAGUUGUGUAGGGGUAAAAUCCGUAGAGAUAACUAGGAAUACCAAAAGCGAAGGCGAUCUUCUGGAACAGUACUGACGCUGAGGCGCGAAAGCGUGGGGAGCAAACAGGAUUAGAAACCCCGGUAGUCC